AGUGAACGCUGGCGGUAGGCCUAACACAUGCAAGUCGAACGGCAGCACAGUAAGAGCUUGCUCUUACGGGUGGCGAGUGGCGGACGGGUGAGUAAUACAUCGGAAUCUACUUUUUCGUGGGGGAUAACGUAGGGAAACUUACGCUAAUACCGCAUACGACCUACGGGUGAAAGCAGGGGAUCUUCGGACCUUGCGCGAUUGAAUGAGCCGAUGUCGGAUUAGCUAGUUGGCGGGGUAAAGGCCCACCAAGGCGACGAUCCGUAGCUGGUCUUAGAGGAUGAGCAGCCACACUGGAACUGAGACACGGUCCAGACUCCUACGGGAGGCAGCAGUGGGGAAUAUUGGACAAUGGGCGCAAGCCUGAUCCAGCCAUACCGCGUGGGUGAAGAAGGCCUUCGGGUUGUAAAGCCCUUUUGUUGGGAAAGAAAAGCAGCAGGUUAAUACCCCGCUGUUCUGACGGUACCCAAAGAAUAAGCACCGGCUAACUUCGUG
Molecule: ribosomal RNA, 492 nt
Filed under: uncultured bacterium
Lineage: Bacteria
Description: partial 16S ribosomal RNA
Rfam family: Bacterial small subunit ribosomal RNA
Source: RNAcentral